This 519-nucleotide ribosomal RNA is filed under the name uncultured bacterium. RNAcentral's name for it is "partial 16S ribosomal RNA". It matches the Rfam family "Bacterial small subunit ribosomal RNA", at positions 29 to 523 of the family's 1533-position model. The record is from RNAcentral.
AACGAACGCUGGCGGCGUGCCUAAUACAUGCAAGUCGAACGAGAAAGUGUAGCAAUACAUUAGUAAAGUGGCAGACGGGUGAGUAAUACAUAGAUAAUCUUUCCUCAAGAUGGGGAUAACCUUCCGAAAGGAGGGAUAAUACCGAAUGAGACCUCAGUGACUUCGGUCACAGCGGUCAAAGGUGACCUCUAUUUAUAAGUUCUCGCUUGCGGAUGAGUUUAUGCACCAUCAGGUAGUUGGUAGGGUAAUGGCCUACCAAGCCUUUGACGGUUAGCUGAUCUGGGAGGUUGAUCAGCCACACUGGAACUGAGACACGGUCCAGACUCCUACGGGAGGCAGCAGUAGGGAAUAUUGCGCAAUGGAGGAAACUCUGACGCAGCGACGCCGCGUGGGUGAUGAAGGUCUUCGGAUUGUAAAGCCCUGUCGGAAGGGACGAAAAACGAAAUGGCUAAUAUCCAUAUCGAUUGACGGUACCUUUAAAGGAAGCACCGGCUAACUUCGUGCCAGCAGCCGCAGUAA